Molecule: ribosomal RNA, 482 nt
Filed under: uncultured bacterium
Lineage: Bacteria
Description: partial 16S ribosomal RNA
Rfam family: Bacterial small subunit ribosomal RNA
Source: RNAcentral
UGAACGCUGGCGGCAGGCCUAACACAUGCAAGUCGAGCGGAUGAAGGGAGCUUGCUCCUGGAUUCAGCGGCGGACGGGUGAGUAAUGCCUAGGAAUCUGCCUGGUAGUGGGGGAUAACGUCCGGAAACGGGCGCUAAUACCGCAUACGUCCUGAGGGAGAAAGUGGGGGAUCUUCGGACCUCACGCUAUCAGAUGAGCCUAGGUCGGAUUAGCUAGUUGGUGGGGUAAAGGCCUACCAAGGCGACGAUCCGUAACUGGUCUGAGAGGAUGAUCAGUCACACUGGAACUGAGACACGGUCCAGACUCCUACGGGAGGCAGCAGUGGGGAACAUUGGACAAUGGGCGAAAGCCUGAUCCAGCCAUGCCGCGUGUGUGAAGAAGGUCUUCGGAUUGUAAAGCACUUUAAGUUGGGAGGAAGGGCAGUAAGUUAAUACCUUGCUGCUUUGACGUUACCAACAGAAUAAGCACCGGCUAACUUCGUG